UCAGCGGUGAAAGUUUGCAGCUUAACUGUAAAAAUGCCGUUGAAACUGUUAGACUUGAGUGUAAAUGAGGUAGGCGGAAUGCGUGGUGUAGCGGUGAAAUGCUUAGAUAUCACGCAGAACUCCGAUUGCGAAGGCAGCUUACCAAGCUACAACUGACACUGAAGCACGAAAGCGUGGGGAUCAAACAGGAUUAGAUACCCUGGUAGUCCACGCAGUAAACGAUGAUUACUAGCUGUUUGCGAUAUACAGUAAGCGGCUAAGCGAAAGCGUUAAGUAUUCCACCUGGGGAGUACGCCGGCAACGGUGAAACUCAAAGGAAUUGACGGGGGCCCGCACAAGCGGAGGAACAUGUGGUUUAAUUCGAUGAUACGCGAGGAACCUUACCCGGGCUUGAAUUGCAGUGGAAUAUAUUAGAAAUAGUAUAGCCGUAAGGCCGCUGUGAAGGAGCUGCAUGGUUGUCGUCAGCUCGUGCCGUGAGGUGUCGGCUUAAGUGCCAUAACGAGCGCAACCCUUAU
This 515-nucleotide ribosomal RNA is filed under the name uncultured Bacteroidota bacterium. RNAcentral describes it as "bacterial SSU rRNA". It matches the Rfam family "Bacterial small subunit ribosomal RNA", at positions 588 to 1108 of the family's 1533-position model. The record is from RNAcentral. Lineage: Bacteria; Pseudomonadati; Bacteroidota.